RNAcentral lists this ribosomal RNA (510 nucleotides) under uncultured bacterium. Its description in RNAcentral is "bacterial SSU rRNA". It matches the Rfam family "Bacterial small subunit ribosomal RNA", at positions 975 to 1482 of the family's 1533-position model. The record is from RNAcentral.
CAGCCCUUGACAUGUCCAGGACCGGUCGCAGAGAUGUGACCUUCUCUUCGGAGCCUGGAGCACAGGUGCUGCAUGGCUGUCGUCAGCUCGUGUCGUGAGAUGUUGGGUUAAGUCCCGCAACGAGCGCAACCCCCGUCCUUAGUUGCUACCAUUUAGUUGAGCACUCUAAGGAGACUGCCGGUGAUAAGCCGCGAGGAAGGUGGGGAUGACGUCAAGUCCUCAUGGCCCUUACGGGCUGGGCUACACACGUGCUACAAUGGCGGUGACAAUGGGAUGCUAAGGGGCGACCCUUCGCAAAUCUCAAAAAGCCGUCUCAGUUCGGAUUGGGCUCUGCAACUCGAGCCCAUGAAGUUGGAAUCGCUAGUAAUCGUGGAUCAGCACGCCACGGUGAAUACGUUCCCGGGCCUUGUACACACCGCCCGUCACACCAUGGGAGUUGGUUUUACCUGAAGACGGUGCGCUAACCAGCAAUGGAGGCAGCCGGCCACGGUAGGGUCAGCGACUGGGGUG